CCUACGGGGGGCAGCAGUGGGGAAUAUUGCACAAUGGGCGCAAGCCUGAUGCAGCGACGCCGCGUGGGGGAUGACGGCCUUCGGGUUGUAAACUCCUUUCGCUAGGGACGAAGCGUUUUGUGACGGUACCUGGAGAAGAAGCACCGGCUAACUACGUGCCAGCAGCCGCGGUAAUACGUAGGGUGCGAGCGUUGUCCGGAAUUACUGGGCGUAAAGAGCUCGUAGGUGGUUUGUCGCGUCGUUUGUGUAAGCCCGCAGCUUAACUGCGGGACUGCAGGCGAUACGGGCAUAACUUGAGUGCUGUAGGGGAGACUGGAAUUCCUGGUGUAGCGGUGGAAUGCGCAGAUAUCAGGAGGAACACCGAUGGCGAAGGCAGGUCUCUGGGCAGUAACUGACGCUGAGGAGCGAAAGCAUGGGUAGCGAACAGGAUUAGAUACCCGUGUAGUC
RNAcentral lists this ribosomal RNA (447 nucleotides) under uncultured Corynebacterium sp. RNAcentral describes it as "bacterial SSU rRNA". It matches the Rfam family "Bacterial small subunit ribosomal RNA", at positions 338 to 795 of the family's 1533-position model. Lineage: Bacteria; Bacillati; Actinomycetota; Actinomycetes; Mycobacteriales; Corynebacteriaceae. The record is from RNAcentral.